This 253-nucleotide ribosomal RNA is filed under the name uncultured bacterium. RNAcentral's name for it is "partial 16S ribosomal RNA". It matches the Rfam family "Bacterial small subunit ribosomal RNA", at positions 524 to 776 of the family's 1533-position model. The record is from RNAcentral.
UACGUAGGGUGCAAGCGUUAAUCGGAAUUACUGGGCGUAAAGCGUGCGCAGGCGGUUGUGUAAGACAGAUGUGAAAUCCCCGGGCUCAACCUGGGAACUGCAUUUGUGACUGCACGGCUCGAGUGCGGCAGAGGGGGAUGGAAUUCCGCGUGUAGCAGUGAAAUGCGUAGAUAUGCGGAGGAACACCGAUGGCGAAGGCAAUCCCCUGGGCCUGCACUGACGCUCAUGCACGAAAGCGUGGGGAGCAAACAGG